UUUUACAAUGGAGAGUUUGAUCCUGGCUCAGGAUGAACGCUAGCUACAGGCUUAACACAUGCAAGUCGAGGGGAAACGACAUCGAAAGCUUGCUUUU
Molecule: ribosomal RNA, 97 nt
Filed under: Segatella copri
Lineage: Bacteria; Pseudomonadati; Bacteroidota; Bacteroidia; Bacteroidales; Prevotellaceae
Description: Prevotella copri partial 16S ribosomal RNA
Source: RNAcentral